UGAUGCUGGGAAAAGUGCAGUUUGAACUCAAGAAACUUGUUGAUAGCUACCGUUCUCACAUAUUCCAGACAAUUACAAUCCCAUCGGAGUCUCUUCUCAAUGAGCUUCAAACUGUUGAGGAGAUGAAGCGGCAAUGUGAUGAGAAAAGAGAUGUAUAUGAAUACAUGAUAAUGAAGCAAAGAGAAAAAGGAAGGGGAAGAAGUAGGAAGGCAGAGACUUUUUCUAUGAUGCAGUUACAAGUGGCUCAUGAUGAAUAUGAUGAAGAGGCAAC
This 271-nucleotide unclassified non-coding RNA is filed under the name Hevea brasiliensis (rubber tree). The record is from RNAcentral. Lineage: Eukaryota; Viridiplantae; Streptophyta; Magnoliopsida; Malpighiales; Euphorbiaceae.